UCCCCGGUGGUGUAAUCGGAAACACGUCAGAUUUUGGUUCUGAAGAGUCCAGGUUCGAUCCCUGGCCGGGGAG
This 73-nucleotide transfer RNA is filed under the name Haloactinospora alba. It matches the Rfam family "tRNA". From Rfam's summary of the family: Transfer RNA (tRNA) molecules are approximately 80 nucleotides in length. Their secondary structure includes four short double-helical elements and three loops (D, anti-codon, and T loops). Lineage: Bacteria; Bacillati; Actinomycetota; Actinomycetes; Streptosporangiales; Nocardiopsidaceae. The record is from Rfam by way of RNAcentral.